This 623-nucleotide ribosomal RNA is filed under the name uncultured bacterium. Its description in RNAcentral is "bacterial SSU rRNA". It matches the Rfam family "Bacterial small subunit ribosomal RNA", at positions 8 to 639 of the family's 1533-position model. The record is from RNAcentral.
AGAGUUUGAUCCUGGCUCAGGAUGAACGCUAGCGGCAGGCCUAAUACAUGCAAGUCGAACGGUGAUAUUUAUAUCAUAGUGGCGCACGGGUGCGUAACACGUAUGCAACCUACCUAUUAUUGAGGGAUAGCCUUUGGAAACGGAGAUUAAUACCGCAUAAUACGAUUAACUGGCAUCGGUUGAUUGUUAAAGCAUUUGCGAUAAUAGAUGGGCAUGCGUCCAAUUAGUUAGUUGGUGUGGUAAUGGCUCACCAAGACGAUGAUUGGUAGGGGAUCUGAGAGGAUAAUCCCCCACACUGGCACUGAGAUACGGGCCAGACUCCUACGGGAGGCAGCAGUAGGGAAUAUUGGGCAAUGGGCGGAAGCCUGACCCAGCCAUGCCGCGUGCGGGAAGACGGCGUUAUGCGUUGUAAACUGCUUUUUUAUAGGAAGAAGGAUCCCUUGCGAGGGAAGGUGACGGUACUAUAAGAAUAAGCACCGGCUAACUCCGUGCCAGCAGCCGCGGUAAUACGGAGGGUGCAAGCGUUGUCCGGAUUUAUUGGGUUUAAAGGGUGCGUAGGCGGUUUAUUAAGUCAGUGGUGAAAGACGGUCGCUCAACGAUUGCAGUGCCAUUGAUACUGGUAG